GAAAAGAAAAAUGACUGAAAAUAGUUCUAGAAUGUUGAGCUACCUCUUCGGUGACUUAGCAUCUAUAAAAAGAAAGUUAUAAAUCAUGGAUUCUGCUUCUGUACCUGAGUGAAAUGAGGAUCUACGUGUCUACAUAAAUGCCGUUAUGUUGGUUCAUAGAACUGUGAGAAAAAGAAAACCUAAUUAAAUGAAACAUCAGAGUCCACCAAGUCAUUCCUUGCCAUGCAUUAUUAUAUUAUUAUUUUGCAAAAUACAAACAAAAGACAGGGAACAAUGGAUUUCCUGCUUUUGCUGAACUGUGACUGCUCAGAACUCUGUAUCACUCUGUCCCUCUCC
This 336-nucleotide long non-coding RNA is filed under the name Phasianus colchicus (ring-necked pheasant). Its description in RNAcentral is "lncRNA (ENSPCLG00000001768.1)". Lineage: Eukaryota; Metazoa; Chordata; Aves; Galliformes; Phasianidae. The record is from RNAcentral.